This 1259-nucleotide long non-coding RNA is filed under the name Anser brachyrhynchus (Pink-footed goose). RNAcentral's name for it is "lncRNA (ENSABRG00000000067.1)". Lineage: Eukaryota; Metazoa; Chordata; Aves; Anseriformes; Anatidae. The record is from RNAcentral.
UGAAGACCAGACUCUGAUCCCUGACUUCCAAAGAAUUGGUAUUGGCAAACUGGAGUAAUUGCAGAAAGGACUACAGGUAUCGUCAGGACACUGGAACUUCAUGCUGAAAUUCUUUCAGAUUUCAAGACAAAGACUAUCUUCGGCACUUCAAAAUUACAGUCACCGCGCAAGGGCAAAUAGCAAAACCAGAGUUCCAGUUGGCAAACACGAUCUUCUGGAGCAUGUAGCUGAUCACUAUACUGCAGGCGUUAAGUAUUGACUCAGUAUGUGUGUGGAUAUACUCCCUAACAGUAGCUGAAAUAGCACAUUGUUACUAUGCAAGUCCCUGAUGGAAGGAAGGUAUCAAUAAGGGGGAAGCAGAGAAGACAAAUAGUGACAGGAUUUAGUGAGGGUAAAAAAAUAGAGCAAUCAGCUUUUUGGCUGCUAUGCCUCUGUUUUGUCGAUUUAAGGGAAGAAUUUUGACAAGAAUGUGAUCUCUGCUCAAAACAUCAUGAUAUUUUGUGUGCCUGACUUGCCCUUUGUACAUGGAUUCUAUAUUCCAGACUUCUUGCUAUGAUGAUAUAAGGGUUUAAUCUUCUCCCUGAAAAACAGUAAUUUUAUUUAAGGUGUUCAUUCAACAUCCGUCUUGAUUUUUCUGUGGUUGUUAUACAGUUUCAAAGUCCUUCCAUUUACGUUCCUUGUUCUAGGAAUGCUGAGCACUACUUGUGUUUUGGUGACAUCUUCUGGAUAAGGUUGCCACUGGAAGGAGUAAUUAAUAUUCACCACCAACUAACCUUCUUUGUACUUGUUUCUGACCCAUUCUGGAAAAAUUACACAUCUACCCUCUUCCGGUGAUUAGUAUCCUAUUUGAAAUUUAGUAAUGGGUUUGAGACUCCAAAGUGAAAGAUGAAAAUGGAGCUGAUUAGAAAUACAAACAGAAGCUGCUUAUGUGGUGCUUCAUGGAUGCAAUGUGGUCUUUUCUCUUGCACUUGGAUAAUAGAUUUCUUUAAUUGUAUUUACGCAUCUCGCUAUUUUUCUUCUUAGGACAGGUCUGUACUGUGCUUACUGUUGGCUAGACUAACCAGAGAAGAAGAAAGGCUUUCCUUGGUUACAGCAAAAAUACCCAUAACCAAGCUUCCUGCCUUCAGCAGCAGAUGCUUAGAGGAGAGGAUAAAGGGCAGGGUAAGCUAGGACCAAUAAUUCCCAGAACAUAUUUCUAGCCACAGGCAGAAAUGCUGUGUGGGGACUUUGACUCAGAGGUGGUAACUUGUAUAUAGUAG